GCCGCAGGGCAGACAGGAGGCUAACACAUUGAGCAAACUCCUGACGACCCACAAAGGAGGCGGUGGCUGCUUUGUCAGUAUUUUCCCAGCCUACCCUCUGACCUUCUAAAAAGCUACAGCCGCGAGCUUCCCAGUUCUAAUGGAAAAUCCCAGCACCACUUUCUACAGGGGCAGCCAUCAAUCAGGCCUCCGACCUCCACAGAGCUGAGAGAAACCGGCCACUGAGCACAGCUGAGGGAGCCCGGCACUGUGAGACCAGAGAAAUCCAAGAGACAAAGCCCAGAGUAGGCACUGAGAACCAGCCAGAGACCAGAGGUGAUUAAGGGUUCAAUACCACAAUGGCAGAACAAAGGCAUGGUGACAGGAACAACCGAGAGCUCACAUCUUGAUCCACAAAUAGGAGGCAGAGAUACUGGGAAUGGCACUGACAUCUGAAACCUCAAAGCCUGCCCUCAGUGAGAAGCCUCCUCCAACAAGACCACAUCUCCUAAUCCUUCCCAAACAGCUCCACCAACUGAGGACCAAGCAUUCAACUGUAUGAACCUGUGGCGGGCAUUAUCAAACCAUCUUAAAUAACAGGUGGCUCUCUCUAGCCAGGCGCUGAUGACAGCAUCCUGAAGCCUCUGGCCCGGUCUGUUCCUCUGCUUGCAUCCUCCUCAUGUCUUUAGAGUGGAAGUGGAUGGCCCAGAAACCUUGGAGAUCUGCACCAAGAUGACCAGACUGGCUAGUGUUCAGGUCUCUCCAGACUUUGCUGGACGGGAGACCUGGAGCCAGCAUGGUUGGCCUCAUCCGUGGAUGUCCACUCAGAGGACACCUCUAAAUGACUGGUUCCCAGAGCCAACGGAAGUCAUCCAAACACCAGCUUUCUGCAGGACACUACCCAGUCACCCUCAGCGAGGCUGGCAUCAGUCCUUCCAUCCCUACCACGAUGACACUGCAGGGUAGUGCAGCCUGGGACAGUCCAGAGCCCCAGAUCAGGACCACACAGACUCACUCACUCGGCGUUCAGCUGGCUGUGAGCCUCCCUUACUGCUGUGCUGGUGUGUGGGCCACUGUGACAGGCGCUUAGACACCUCCAAGCAGGGAACCCAUCCAUCCCAAGAUAUCCCAUCUGUGGUUGGAAAGCU
Mastomys coucha (southern multimammate mouse) is the source of this 1127-nucleotide long non-coding RNA. RefSeq lists it as uncharacterized. NCBI's taxonomy places the organism in Eukaryota, Metazoa, Chordata, Mammalia, Rodentia, Muridae. The transcript is spliced from 5 exons. The record is from RefSeq and is a predicted model, not a curated record.